UACGAAGGGGGCUAGCGUUGUUCGGAAUUACUGGGCGUAAAGCGCACGUAGGCGGGUUUGUAAGUAGAGGGGGAAAUCCCAGGGCUCAACCCUGGAACUGCCUUCUAGACUGCAAGCCUGGAGGUCAGGAGAGGCGAGUGGAAUACCGAGUGUAGAGGUGAAAUUCGUAGAUAUUCGGUGGAACACCAGUGGCGAAGGCGACUCGCUGGACUGAUACUGACGCUGAGGUGCGAAAGCGUGGGGAGUAAACAGG
RNAcentral lists this ribosomal RNA (253 nucleotides) under uncultured bacterium. RNAcentral's name for it is "partial 16S ribosomal RNA". It matches the Rfam family "Bacterial small subunit ribosomal RNA", at positions 524 to 776 of the family's 1533-position model. The record is from RNAcentral.